Molecule: ribosomal RNA, 486 nt
Filed under: uncultured bacterium
Lineage: Bacteria
Description: partial 16S ribosomal RNA
Rfam family: Bacterial small subunit ribosomal RNA
Source: RNAcentral
AUGGACCGCUGGCGGCAUGCCUUACACAUGCAAGUCGAACGGCAGCACGGGUGCUUGUACCUGGUGGCGAGUGGCGAACGGGUGAGUAAUACAUCGGAACAUGUCCUGUAGUGGGGGAUAGCCCGGCGAAAGCCGGAUUACUACCGCAUACGAUCCACGGAUGAAAGCGGGGGACCUUCGGGCCUCGCGCUAUAGGGUUGGCCGAUGGCUGAUUAGCUAGUUGGUGGGGUAAAGGCCUACCAAGGCGACGAUCAGUAGCUGGUCUGAGAGGACGACCAGCCACACUGGGACUGAGACACGGCCCAGACUCCUACGGGAGGCAGCAGUGGGGAAUUUUGGACAAUGGGCGAAAGCCUGAUCCAGCAAUGCCGCGUGUGUGAAGAAGGCCUUCGGGUUGUAAAGCACUUUUGUCCGGAAAGAAAUCCUUGACUCUAAUACAGUCGGGGGAUGACGGUACCGGAAGAAUAAGCACCGGCUAACUACGUG